RNAcentral lists this ribosomal RNA (270 nucleotides) under Perilla frutescens (beefsteak plant). Its description in RNAcentral is "4.5S ribosomal RNA". The record is from RNAcentral. Lineage: Eukaryota; Viridiplantae; Streptophyta; Magnoliopsida; Lamiales; Lamiaceae.
CUGCCCUUCUAUCCCUUGGAUAGAUAGAGAGGGAGGGCAGGGCAGAGCUUUUGGUUUUUUCAUGUUGUCAAAGAGUUGAACAAUGGUUUUUCGUGUUGUCAAAGAUUUGAACAAUGAAAAUAGAUGGCGAGUGCCUGAUCGAAUUGAUCAGGUCAUGUAGGAACAAGGUUCAAGUCUACCGGUCUGUUAGGAUGCCUCAGCUGCAUACAUCACUGCACUUCCACUUGACACCUAUCGUAAUGAUAAACGGCUCGUCUCGCCGUGACCUUC